Molecule: non-coding RNA, 99 nt
Organism: Mycena maculata
Lineage: Eukaryota; Fungi; Basidiomycota; Agaricomycetes; Agaricales; Mycenaceae
Source: the annotation of a GenBank genome assembly
GACCUGGUGUAUCGGUAAUACACCUCGGUUAACGUAUUCAUUCGUCCGGCUUUGUAAGCAAUUUGCCGAGCGUUCCCGGUUCGACUCCGGGCCAGGUCG